Molecule: long non-coding RNA, 1391 nt
Organism: Micropterus dolomieu (smallmouth bass)
Lineage: Eukaryota; Metazoa; Chordata; Actinopteri; Centrarchiformes; Centrarchidae
Exons: 5
Source: RefSeq, a predicted model, not a curated record
CUGAGCCGUCACCUGAGAACAGGUGACAGGUGAGCUGCUGCUCAUCGCGUCUUCUUCCAUCAGGGUUUCACAACUGUCAACACGAAUUCAACAAAUCCCCGUUAAUUCAGCUCAAAUCUGACCUCUCGUCUCCGUUUCCUGCUAAACGUUGUCAGCAAACUCACGUCCUUGUUCAGACAUGCAGACAUGUGUGAUACCAGAAAUAACCGGCAAAGGGGACCGUGAAGACCAGGAUCUAGAUCUGUUCUGCAGAACGUGCGGUGUCGUGAUCGAACAUAAAGGAAAUCGUCUCCACUUUGAAACGUUAGAAACACAUGGAGGACGUCAGAGACGCUGAGACACAGGCUGCUGCAUACCGCUCAGCAGCAGGACAGAGUCAGCUGGUUUAAACAUGCAGGGUCGAGGUCGGGGUCCGGCCCGCCGAGUCCUGGAGGGCCUGACUGAGUCGUACAGUAACUUUGUUUUUUCUGUGUAUUUGUUACAGCGUUGUUUUGGUUUUCAUCGUGAUCUCCUGCCUCUGUUUGGCCAAAAGAUAAAUAUAAAAAAAUAGUACUUUGAUGCCACAGUGGCCCCGAUGCCCCGCCCACACUGUUUCCUUCGGUUCUUAGACACCAGAGUCUUUGGUUGAGAUUCUGAGAUUCUUAUCGGGCCGAGGUAAGAAAGUUCGAGAAAUUAGCGAACAAAGAAGACAAGAAUCUGUAGUCGGGCCAUCGGGAGCACCGGGGUCAGCUGUUAGAUCAGCGAGUUCAUCGACAACAGACGGAUGGAACAGAAAGACGUCGACCAGGACUCACCUGCACCCCCCCCCAGCUGCGAGGGAGAACGAACUCAGGACGACACAGAGACCUGAACAUGCUGUCACUCACGGCCGGUGAACAGGAACUGGUCCGGACCUGAUCAAUGACAGCUCUUCAAAGACGGCAGAUGAAAGCCGGGUCGAUGUUUCUCUCGCUGAGGGUUGGCGUGAUCGUGGCUCUGUGCUACAUUUGAUGUUCUUUCACGUGUGUUGUAGGGCUCCGUGGUGAGUUUGAGUCCAGGGCCCGUGGCCAUGAUAAUCUGUCCGUGGUGUUUAGUUCAAGGUACCAACAUCUGUCAGGACUGCUGCUGCCGGUUUUUAUGACCCGGUGGGGACCGGGCCCCUGAACGCACACUGACCUGAUGGGGACUCGUGUCACUGUGGGGACCGAGCGGCGACAUCUGUUUUUCCACUGCAGAAGAAAGUUCUUCUAGAGACGAACGAAGAACAGCGACGGUGAAGAACCACAGCAGAGAUUUCUCUGCACGGACCGACAGCGAGGUGGAACUGUUACAGAGAAGAACACGGGAGCACGGAGAGACGGUGGCGGCGGGAAACAGGCUGCGAGUCGACGCAAAGCAAAUACGGAAACAUG